AUGACCGCCUCCGCCCCCGCCUCGCCCGCCGCCUCCCCGCCCCGCCGCCGCCGGCACCGCGACGGCUCCCCGCGCCGCGGCGACCACCGCAAGCCCCGCCCGUCGCCGUCCCCGUCCCCUUCCCCCUCCCCCGACCGCGACGCCGACCGCCGCCGCCGCAGAUCUAGGGCUUCCCCGCCCGACCGCGAUGCCGACCGCCGCCGCCGCCACGACCCCAAGCCCUCGGAGGACAACGGAGUCGCCAAGCCCAGCAAGGCCGACGACCCCCCGCGCUCGCGCGCUAGGGUUUCCGACGGGGAGGAGGAGGACGGCCGCCGGGCGAGGCGGCCUAGGGCUUCCGACGACGAGAAGGAGGGCGACCGCCGGCGCAGGCGUCCCAGGGAUUCCGACGACGGGAGGGACGACCGUCGCGGCAGCAAGCGCGACCGCGACCGGGACCGGCGGCGCCGCCGCCGGAGCCCCAGCUCCGAGUCGGGAUCCUCACCCGACGACCGCCGGAGGCGUCACCGCCGUGAUGAGGCCUCUAGGAGGCGGGGGGAGGACCGUGGCCGCGAGGAGCGCCGGGCCAGCCCCGAGAGGAAGGAGCCGACGCCACCACUGCCACCCCCACCGCCGCUGCCGGAGAUGAUCCCCGGCCGCACGGGAGGGAUCUACAUCCCGCCUUUCCGCAUGGCGCAGAUGCUGCGGGAUGUGGAGGACAAGGCGAGCCCCGAGUACCAGAGGCUCACGUGGGAUGCUCUCAAGAAGAGCAUCAAUGGGCUGGUCAACAAGGUGAAUGCCACCAAUAUCAAGAAUCUCGUGCCGGAGCUGUUGGCCGAGAACCUGGUUCGCGGGCGGGGCCUCUUCUGCCAGUCUUGCAUAAAGUCGCAAAUGGCUUCACCUGGGUUUACAGAUGUGUUUGCGGCGCUGGUUGCGGUUGUCAAUACCAAGUUCCCUGAGAUUGGUCGGCUGCUGCUCGUACGUGUCAUGCUUCAGCUCAAGAGGGCCUAUAAGAGAAAUGACAAGCCCCAAUUGCUUGCGGCAACCAAGUUCAUAGCACACUUGGUUAAUCAGGUGGUUGUGCAUGAGCUUGUGGCUCUGGAGCUUCUUACUGUACUUCUUGAUAAUCCAAGUGAUGAUAGUGUUGAGGUGGCAGUGGGGUUUGUGAAAGAAUGCGGAGCAAUAUUGCAGGACUUGACUCCUCAGGGGCUUCAUGCUAUGUUUGAACGUUUCCGAGGCAUUCUUCAUGAAGGUGAAAUAGACAAGAGAGUACAGUUUCUCAUUGAAGGCCUUUUUGCUAUUAGAAAGGCCAAAUUUCAGGGAUUCCCAGCCAUCCGGCCAGAACUGGAUCUUGUGGAGCAGGAGGACCAAUUUACUCAUGAUAUGUCCCUUGAAACUGAACUAGACCCUGAGACUAAUCUAAAUGUUUUCAGAGUAAACCCGAACUUUGCUGAAGAUGAGAAGGCCUACGAGAACCUAAAGAAAAGCAUCCUGGGAGAAGAUGAUGAAGAUGAAGAAGGGUCUGAUGAUGCUUCUGAUGGCGAGGACGAAGAAGAAUCAGAUGAUGAAGAGGAUGAAGAGCAGAUGGAGAUAAGAGAUAAAACUGAGACCAAUCUUAUCAACCUUCGAAGAACCAUAUAUUUGACAAUCAUGUCCAGUGUUGAUUUUGAAGAAGCUGGUCACAAGCUUCUAAAAAUUAAACUUGAACCCGGGCAAGAGAUGGAGCUGAACAUCAUGCUUCUCGAGUGUUGCAGUCAAGAGAGGACAUACCUUCGAUACUAUGGUUUAUUAGGGCAGCGGUUUUGCAUGAUUAAUAAAGUUUUUCAAGAAAACUUUGAAAAAUGUUUCGUGCAACAGUAUUCGAUGAUUCAUCGUCUUGAAACAAACAAGUUGAGGAAUGUCGCCAAGUUCUUCGCGCAUUUGUUGGGUACUGAUGCUCUCCCUUGGCACGUCUUGGCCUAUAUCCGGUUGACGGAGGAAGACACCACGUCUUCCUCCCGGAUUUUCAUAAAGAUUCUCUUCCAGGAAUUGUCAGAGCAUCUUGGUAUACGAUUGCUCAACGAGAGGCUAAAUGAUCCAAACAUGCAAGAAUCCUUCGAGUCGGUCUUCCCAAGAGACCACCCAAAGAACACCAGAUUCUCCAUCAAUUUCUUCACCUCCAUCGGUCUGGGAGGCAUCACGGAGAGCCUGCGAGAGUACCUGAAGAACAUGCCCCGCAUGAUAAUGCAGCAACAAAAGCCUCCCUCCCCGUCCGAGUCGGAAUCAAGCGGAGAAAGCUCCGAUUCAGGGUCCAGUUCUCAGUCGGAAUCAAGUUCCGAUGAGAGCGAGAAAAAGCGAAGGAAGAGAAGGAAGAAGUAG
This 2337-nucleotide ribosomal RNA is filed under the name Triticum aestivum (bread wheat). RNAcentral describes it as "partial small subunit ribosomal RNA". Lineage: Eukaryota; Viridiplantae; Streptophyta; Magnoliopsida; Poales; Poaceae. The record is from RNAcentral.